CCCUUAGAUGUUCUGGGCCGCACGCGCGCUACACUGACGAAUGCAACGAGCUUAUAACCUUGUCCGAAAGGUCUGGGUAAUCUCCAAAUUUCGUCGUGAUGGGGAUAGAUUAUUGCAAUUAUUAAUCUUCAACGAGGAAUGCCUAGUAAGCGCAAGUCAUCAGCUCGCGUUGAUUACGUCCCUGCCCUUUGUACACACCGCCCGUCGCUCCUACCGAUUGAAUGGUCCGGUGAAGCGUUCGGACCGUGGCCUUUGGACGGUUCGCCGUCUGUUGGCUGCGGGAAGUUCGUUAAACCUUAUCAUUUAGAGGAAGGAGAANUCGUANCA
This 327-nucleotide ribosomal RNA is filed under the name uncultured eukaryote. RNAcentral describes it as "partial 18S ribosomal RNA". It matches the Rfam family "Eukaryotic small subunit ribosomal RNA", at positions 1470 to 1796 of the family's 1831-position model. The record is from RNAcentral.